UACGUAGGGGGCAAGCGUUGUUCGGAUUUAUUGGGCGUAAAGAGCGUGUAGGCGGCCUGGAAGGUCAGCUGUGAAAACUCGAGGCUCAACCUCGAGACGUCGGUUGAAACCACCUGGCUAGAGUCCGGAAGAGGAGUGUGGAAUUCCCGGUGUAGCGGUGAAAUGCGCAGAUAUCGGGAAGAACACCCGUGGCGAAGGCGGCACUCUGGGACGGUACUGACGCUGAGACGCGAAAGCGUGGGGAGCGAACAGG
RNAcentral lists this ribosomal RNA (253 nucleotides) under uncultured bacterium. RNAcentral describes it as "partial 16S ribosomal RNA". It matches the Rfam family "Bacterial small subunit ribosomal RNA", at positions 524 to 776 of the family's 1533-position model. The record is from RNAcentral.